Molecule: ribosomal RNA, 253 nt
Filed under: uncultured bacterium
Lineage: Bacteria
Description: partial 16S ribosomal RNA
Rfam family: Bacterial small subunit ribosomal RNA
Source: RNAcentral
UACAGAGGUCCCAAGCGUUGUUCGGAUUCACUGGGCUUAAAGGGUGCGUAGGCGGCGCGGAAAGUUGGGUGUGAAAGCCCUCGGCUCAACCGAGGAAUUGCGCCCAAAACUUCCGUGCUUGAGGAAGAUAGAGGUGAGCGGAACUCAGGGUGGAGCGGUGAAAUGCGUUGAUAUCCUGAGGAACACCGGUGGCGAAAGCGGCUCACUGGAUCUUUUCUGACGCUGAGGCACGAAAGCUAGGGUAGCGAACGGG